RNAcentral lists this ribosomal RNA (497 nucleotides) under uncultured bacterium. RNAcentral's name for it is "partial 16S ribosomal RNA". It matches the Rfam family "Bacterial small subunit ribosomal RNA", at positions 28 to 507 of the family's 1533-position model. The record is from RNAcentral.
GAUGAACGCUGGCGGCGUGCCUAAUACAUGCAAGUCGAGCGAACAGACGAGGAGCUUGCUCCUCUGACGUUAGCGGCGGACGGGUGAGUAACACGUGGAUAACCUACCUAUAAGACUGGGAUAACUUCGGGAAACCGGAGCUAAUACCGGAUAAUAUAUUGAACCGCAUGGUUCAAUAGUGAAAGACGGUUUUGCUGUCACUUAUAGAUGGAUCCGCGCCGCAUUAGCUAGUUGGUAAGGUAACGGCUUACCAAGGCAACGAUGCGUAGCCGACCUGAGAGGGUGAUCGGCCACACUGGAACUGAGACACGGUUCAGACUCCUACGAGAGGCAGCAGUAGGGAAUCUUCCGCAAUGGGCGAAAGCCUGACGGAGCAACGCCGCGUGAGUGAUGAAGGUCUUCCGAUCGUAAAACUCUGUUAUUAGUGAAGAACAAAUGUGUAAGUAACUAUGCACGUCUUGACGGUACCUACUCAGAAAGCCACGGCUAACUACGUG